This is a non-coding RNA of Anas platyrhynchos (mallard), 2163 nucleotides long. Lineage: Eukaryota; Metazoa; Chordata; Aves; Anseriformes; Anatidae. The record is from RefSeq and is a predicted model, not a curated record.
UUCUAAAAUCCCACUAUUCUGUCCUUUUCAAGUACCUCAUCUAAAAUGUUGUCUCUCAUGUACUCAGAAGUCACAACAGGCUUGUUUAAAUCAUGGAUUGCUUUAAGAAAGCAAAAAAAAUUAAAGCUCUUUGAGGCUUUUUUUUUUAGGCUCCUUCUCACUGCUGAACUUGCAGCAGUCCCUUCCUUCUAUUUUUCAUGAUUUCUCCACUGUUCUCUUGCUGAGAUGUUUGUACUGUUUCUUGCUUUUAGAAACCAGUGCUAAAAAAAAAUAUUUAAAAAACAUAAAAAAAAUCUUGAAAUAUAUAACCACAAGAACUUGGCAAUAUAUCAUUUUUCCUUUAAAAUUAGUAUCAUCUUUUCAUAUACAAGUUUUCUCAGAUUUCUUUUGCUUGAGGAAGGACUCUGGAGCUUUGUUUUUGCUGGGCAUAAUAGAAGAUAAAAGAAGAGAGAAACAGUGGGCCACUGCUGUGAUUCGGGAACCUAGUCCUUCCCUUGGUCUAUCAAGUGAGUCAGUGAUGGAUGGAUGAAGGAGCUUACUCUCGUGACCAGAUGGAGCCAGGUUGGUGCUGAGGUGUGUUAUCUUGAAUGGUCUCCUCUGUGAAGAGCCAGGGAACAUAACUGGAGGGGAGCACUCAGAAAAGAGAAGCUGCAUUGGAGAAGUGGCCUGGCCAAAACACCAAGGACUUGUUCAUAGCCUAAAAAAGGGAGAGGAGGAGUCUGGUUUUGGAGGUGUCACUCUUUGUGGAAAACAGACUUAGAUAACUGGAGCUUUCAAGCUGUUCCCCCCCUGAAAGGAGGAAUUGUUAUUUGAGCAACACCUAGAGUCGUCAGUCUCCUGUGGGUGAAAAACGAUAAACAGACUCUCAAGGGAUGCAUCUUGGUGGAGCUAGAAAGGUGCACUUUCCAUAUUUUCAAUCUCCGAGUGAAUUGCUCUGAUAUCAGGGUUUGGUGGAUCUUGGGAAGAGUACGGCUGUGGCAACUUCAGUUCAAUGAAGCCAGAGGACCCUACACUGUUGAUGAAAUAUUACUUCUUUUCUUCUUGGCAUCUCUCCGGUCAUUUUCAUCAUGACUUGUACUCAAAGCAGGGAUGUCUCUGUGCCUGGAUGAGACUGGACAUUCAAGAACUGAUCUCUGAGAGUCAUCCAGGAGCACAGAUUUCAAGAAAAGCCACCAUUGCGCUUGCUGAAAGCACUGAAUACAUUCCCGUUGUUUUCCACCACAUUCCUGUGAAAGAGGCAAAUGGAUAGCAUGGCCAGUAUUUCAAGUGACUGCUAAUAUGAUGUGUACAACUUCAGACAUUUAUGUGAGCGCCCAGAGUAAGAGGAUGAAGUUGGCAGCAGCGUGAGGUCAUCUUGCCUAUAAACCACCUAACCACUGCCCUCCAGGGAUAGGACUGAAAUACAGAAGUGCUGCCUUGAGAGGACAUAACCAGACAGACUGCAAGACAGAGGCAAGAUUUUCCCUAACAACUUCAUACUGGUGAGCCUUGAGAGAGCCUCUGUAAUCCAACACCGUGGCCAGGCAGAUUCCAUGAACUGCAGACCCUACUGUUGACAGAUGGGGUUUGUGAGUAAUUGUUUGAUGGGCACCGUGGGUGAGGAUGUAGGGAAGUAUCAGGAGAAAGGGGUGCUGUGGUUUGUUUUUGAGCUUGGAGGUCACGUCAGCUACCAGUGAGAGCAUCUUUCAGUGUUUUUUGAUUGCAUUGUUAUUUUGGUACUGGUGAUGAUGAAGUUUUAAAUGGGGAAGGGCAAGGAGGAUACUUCUCUUACCCUACACAGCUCUGCAAUGCCUGUGUUAAUGUUAGCUAGGGGCAGGAUCUCAGGAGCUGCUCACUUUGCACCAGGCACGAGCCAGAAGAAAGGGAAUAUGAACAAGGUGGGGAUUGCUGCAUUCAUGCAGAGUAGUUUGUGUAGAAAAUGUUAAUCUGGUGAACAAAGACAAAAUGAAGAUGCAAAUGUUUUGCACAGAAUGGAUGUAGUAUAGACCACAGUGCAUGCCCUCCUACACACUGGUAAAGGGGCCUUAACCCAGUUCAGUCCAUUUUUAUGGCUUGGUCAGUUUGGUGAUUAAAUCCAGUACAUUUCCAUUCUGUAAUUAAACAACAACAACAUAAUAAUAAUAAAAAAAUGAAACAGAAACCAUAAAAUCAAAAAAAAAAAAA